This is a small nuclear RNA of Drosophila obscura, 130 nucleotides long. RefSeq annotates it as U4atac minor spliceosomal RNA. Lineage: Eukaryota; Metazoa; Arthropoda; Insecta; Diptera; Drosophilidae. The transcript has a single exon. The record is from RefSeq and is a predicted model, not a curated record.
AGGUGUCUUGUCUUGGGGAGCAGAAAUGUCCAAUGAACGUAUAGUGGGGGCUUUGCUGCCGACACCAAUUACAUUAAUUCCCGUCUGUCACACCACUCACUUGAGUAUACCACUCGGAAUUUUUGGCCAA